RNAcentral lists this ribosomal RNA (265 nucleotides) under uncultured bacterium. Its description in RNAcentral is "partial 16S ribosomal RNA". It matches the Rfam family "Bacterial small subunit ribosomal RNA", at positions 793 to 1055 of the family's 1533-position model. The record is from RNAcentral.
GUCCUUGCCGUAAACGAUGUGGAUUAGGUGUCGGAGGUGUCGAUCCCUCCGGCGCCGACGCUAACGCAUUAAAUCCACCACCUGGGGAGUACGGUCGCAAGACUGAAACUCAAAGAAAUUGACGGGGACCCGCACAAGCGGUGGAGCAUGUGGUUUAAUUCGAGGCUACGCGAAGAACCUUACCCAGGCUUGACAUGUAGUUGACUGUGAAUGAAAGUUCAUUUUCCCGCAAGGGACAAUUACACAGGUGCUGCAUGGCUGUCGU